Molecule: ribosomal RNA, 343 nt
Filed under: Neomargarodes chondrillae
Lineage: Eukaryota; Metazoa; Arthropoda; Insecta; Hemiptera; Margarodidae
Description: partial 28S ribosomal RNA
Source: RNAcentral
AAACCGUUCGGGGGUAAACGGACGGAGGCCGUCAUGCGAGCGGGCGAAUUCAAGACCGAUCUACCCGGUUGCCCGGGUUGGUCGUUUUGAUGUUUCGCCCGCUGUUUUCGCACGUCGCGACUCGUGGGCCACCGGUUUAAGAGCGGCGCGCCUUUCGAGGACGUUCCGCGUCGCGGAUUUUACGCCUCCGGGUGUAAAAACCGCGGCGGGAUCCUCGGUGUGCCCGGCUCGGGCCGGUGUUUGUCUUUGCCUACGGUAGGGAGAUGGCGGCGCGGCCGUCGGCGCCUUUAAAAGCGCCGGCGGCUCGUCAGUCGGCGACGAAAUGUUUCGGCGCUCCUUCCGA